GACGAACGCUGGCGGCGUGCUUAACACAUGCAAGUCGAACGGAAAGGCCCUUCGGGGUACUCGAGUGGCGAACGGGUGAGUAACACGUGGGUGAUCUGCCCUGCACUUUGGGAUAAGCCUGGGAAACUGGGUCUAAUACCGAAUAGGACCACGCGCUUCAUGGUGUGUGGUGGAAAGCUUUUGCGGUGUGGGAUGGGCCCGCGGCCUAUCAGCUUGUUGGUGGGGUAAUGGCCUACCAAGGCGACGACGGGUAGCCGGCCUGAGAGGGUGACCGGCCACACUGGGACUGAGAUACGGCCCAGACUCCUACGGGAGGCAGCAGUGGGGAAUAUUGCGCAAUGGGCGCAAGCCUGAUGCAGCGACGCCGCGUGA
RNAcentral lists this ribosomal RNA (372 nucleotides) under uncultured bacterium. Its description in RNAcentral is "bacterial SSU rRNA". It matches the Rfam family "Bacterial small subunit ribosomal RNA", at positions 28 to 404 of the family's 1533-position model. The record is from RNAcentral.